GAUUCGACUACUCUCACAUGUGGUUCCUUUAAUGAUGAAGAAUUAGCUAGCACGAAACAUGAUAAAGAAAAAAAGGGAGCUUAUAAACGCACAGAGGCGGGCAUCUUAUCGGAAGAAAAAGGAGGGCACGACCAAACUAUAAGAUGAUGUGCGAAAUGUUCCCUGCCAUGCUCUCCGUCAUAUCACUAAUGUUGAUCCACCUUCCAAUGCGAUGUCAGGUACACUUGUGAUAUUUUGCAACGUCAUCAAUGAUAAUAUAUGUAUUCAGAAGCGUUUGGACAGGUUUGGUCCAUUUUCCUUCAUACAUUGUGAAGCUUUGUGGGAUUUCUGGUUUGUUAUUUUUACAUGAUGCAGACGACACAUCGGUCUCAUACAUGCAUUCGUGUUUGAACCAUGAAGUUCUAAGUAUGUUUUCACAACGUUGUUUAACCAGACAACCCAACUAGCUCCAGUUAUACAUCAUUCUCGCAUAAUGAUGCAACAUUUCCUCCUUCAACUGCGGUCACAUCUGGUGUCAUUCAUGGCAAAGGCCUACAAGGAGCUAUCUUGACUGACACCAAACAAACUAGGCAAAAACGUGUAGAAGAUCGCAGCAAAAGCUUAACACACGAAAAGAGAGAGUAGAAAAACGCCCAGAGGAGAGCUGCUUAUCGGAAGAAAAAAGAUCUGCUUAUCCAACAAGAAAAUCUGCCUCCCCUGUCGAUAUCAGGUAAGAUUGUUUUCUGUAUAAUGGCUCUUUGUGGUUUUUCUGGUUUGUAUUAAAUUCUGUUAGCAGUAAACUGCCUCGUUCUGUCCAAGAUUUGUUAUUUUGACAUGAUGCAGACAACUCAGCAAUCUCAUUCAUGCAUAAUGAUGCUUCAUUGCUGGCACCCAGUAAUCUCACACUGGUUUAUGCCACAGAUGUACCAAAAAGUUCGAAUGGUAUUACCCGAUCCGUCUUUGAUAUGAACUAAUUUGUGCUUACAGGGGUUCAUCUUCACAUAUUUAAACAGCUUAUGGCUUUUCUGUUGUUCCAGUAGCUCUAGAAUCUACCCAUAUCGAUGUGGGAAACGAGGUAGGGUUUAGUGCGUAUAAGACAUUUUUUAUCACUAAACGUCUUAUAGUUCUGUACAGAGGGAGUAUAUUUUAAUUUGUGCCAUACAACCAAGCACUACCUCGUGUACUUAGGCAAUUAUAUAACCAUUGAAGCGAAGGAGCAGAAGUUUUUCAUAUGCCAAUGUUCACUUGAUUGUAAAGUGUCCACAUAUUUUAACUGCUCAGUUGAUGUCGUAUGCACAAAAUUCUAACCAUUUCUUGUGGCCAGAUCAAAUCUAAAUCUACAUGAAGAAGACAUCUUGACCACAUAAUGUAUAAUCACUAAAUUAAGUGGUUCAGCUUGAAGAUAUAUGUUCAUAUGGUGUGUGUAGGACCCAACUCCAGCAACUUUGUAGCUCAGAGACAUAAUCAAAUUAAGGUGAGGAGAUGGC
Molecule: long non-coding RNA, 1466 nt
Organism: Triticum dicoccoides
Lineage: Eukaryota; Viridiplantae; Streptophyta; Magnoliopsida; Poales; Poaceae
Exons: 2
Source: RefSeq, a predicted model, not a curated record